GGUAGCUAAAUGCGGAAGAGAUAAGUGCUGAAAGCAUCUAAGCACGAAACUUGCCCCGAGAUGAGUUCUCCCUGACUCCUUGAGGGUCCUGAAGGAACGUUGAAGACGACGACGUUGAUAGGCCGGGUGUGUAAGCGCAGCGAUGCGUUGAGCUAACUGGUACUAAUGAACCGUGAGGCUUAACCUUACAACGCCGAAGGUGUUU
Molecule: ribosomal RNA, 205 nt
Filed under: Escherichia coli
Lineage: Bacteria; Pseudomonadati; Pseudomonadota; Gammaproteobacteria; Enterobacterales; Enterobacteriaceae
Description: partial 23S ribosomal RNA
Rfam family: Bacterial large subunit ribosomal RNA
Source: RNAcentral